GAUUUGGUGAGUUUUUGGGGUUUUUUUAAGAUAGUCAGUCGAUUUGGUGAUUAACAGUAAUCCACGGAACCGAACAAAGAACAAGGCCGUUGAACCCACGCAAAAAUCUACAGAGCAAACCAAACCCAGAAAAAAAAAAAAAACAAGCCAGGGAAGUGAUUCUCUGCCUUUUUUGACGAUGAGAGAUGAAGAGACACCGAAGGGAUGACGCCAUAAACAUCAAAUGUGGAAGCAACAACGUUGGAAACAACGAAAGCAGAGCCCUCCUCCAGCUCCGUUUGCCUUUGUUCUUCUCGUUUUGGUUUCUCGUGUUCUUGUUCUACUCUGAGCUCGGCCUUACCCGUGGUAAUGGAGGGAACUUUCUUGCUGGAAAUAAAAACAUGACUAAUUCCAGUGUUUGUGAUAAUAAGCCAUGUAACUCUGAGGGUUCAGAAUUUGGAGACGGGAACAAGAGUGAUUAUGUAAAUGGGGUGGUGUUAAAAUUUAAUGUGUCCGUAGCUAGUAAUGGCUCUGAUGUGCAUGAUUAUCUCCAUACAAAUUCCGGGUACUCGCUUCGGGGAACCAGUGAAUUGGAGGAAGCCGUAUGGAUUUUUUUAGGUCACCCAACAUUAGUGUGUGGGAUACAACCUCAAGAACAACGAAAGCAAAAGGCAGUAGAGCAACUAAAGAUUGGGAAAAAUCAUUCAUCUUACCUCAAUCUGGAUGAGUUUCGGAAUAUUACAAAGCAAAAGAGCGCUGUGGUUGCAACAACUCGGCUUGACAAUAUCACCCACCGGCUUGAGCCUGAUGGGACGGAAUACAACUAUGCCUCUGCAGCUAAGGGUGCAAAGGUCGUGGCUCAUAAUAAGGAAGCAAAGGGUGCUAGCAACAUAUUGGGGAAGGAUCAUGAUAAAUAUCUGAGGAACCCUUGUUCUGUUGGGGGAAAGUUUGUUGUUAUUGAGCUGGCAGAAGAAACUUUGGUUGAUGCGGUUAAAAUUGCUAAUUUUGAACAUUAUUCUUCUAACUUCAAGGAAUUUGAGUUGUCUGGGAGUUUGGUUUAUCCAACUGAGUCAUGGUCCCCGAUAGGAAAAUUUGUUGCUGCAAAUGUCAAACAUACUCAAACCUUUAAGCUGCCUGAACCCAAAUGGGUUAGGUACUUGAAAUUGAAUUUAUUUAGUCACUAUGGUUCGGAAUUUUAUUGUACAUUGAGUGUUGUUGAGGUAUAUGGCAUUGAUGCAAUUGAGCGGAUGCUUGAAGAUUUCAUUGUGGCUGCUGGGGAGCCUGCAACUAAUAAAUUGCCUCAUCUUAAUUCAACAGCAAUGCCUUCCUUAUUAUUGGAUCCAGGUUCUGGUAACAAGAAAAUGGUUGGCGAAGUUCAAAGUGUGAUUGAGGCUGCCAGUAAGGGUAUAGAAGGCAUAAAUGAAGGACAAAAGCCUAACACAGAUGCAUUGAAGAAUCCAACUGGACACAUUCCUGAUCCUGUAACUGGAGUUAGACAACCAUCAAAUGGUAGAAUACAUGCUGAUGCUGUUCUAAAGAUCUUGAUGCAGAAGGUCAGGUCACUUGAGAUAAAUUUAUCAGUUCUGGAGGAGUACAUCAAAGAGCUAAACCGAAGAGAAGGGGAUCUACUUCCUGAGCUUGAAAAAGAGCUAUCUAGAUAUUCGAUGCUUUUAGAGAAAAGCAAAGGAGAUGUCAAGGAUCUCUUGGAAUGGAAGGAAAUAAUGGAGAAAGGAGUUACUGAUAUUGAGUCGUGGAAAACUAUUGUCUCAUCCCGCAUGGAUGCAUUGGCUAGAGAAAACAGCAUGCUGAGAUUAGACAUUGAAAAGAUUGUUAAAGAUCAAGUAAGUCUGGAAAAUGAAGAGAUUGCUUUGCUAUUAGUGAGUGUUUGCUUUGGAUUACUUGCAAUCAUCAAGUUGGUUUCUGAACGAGUCUUGAUCAAUUAUGGAGCCUCUCCAUCUGGUGAAGUACGCCGGGCAAGUAGAGGUUGGAUAUUGAUGCUUGUUAGCACUGGUAUGACUAUAUUCAUUACCUUACUCUGUAACUAGUCUCCUCAACGCAGCUCUUGAGAACUGGACUGGAUAUCUCUUUAGCUUUCCUCUUGUAAUUAUCUUCCAUUAGUGUAGGAGUUGAAGCAGAAAAAACCCUUUAGCUUAUACGAUAAAACUUCUCUAGUUUCCCCCCCUUGUACUGCCAAUUACGGUAGUGUUAGUUUAAUCGAAUUUAACUUGUGAAGAUCAAAUUCCUUUUUCUCUAGACCACUGCGUCCAUGAAUCAUAAUAUGUUUUCUUAUGCAGCUUGUGCUCAUGUAAGAGCACUAAGAAAACAUGUAAGGCUUCUUCUUCUUUUUCUGUUUCUCCAUCUCUCUCCCCCUUCAAGCUGGUGCUGGAUGCAGGGAUGGUAGUAUUUCUUGUAAACAGGCCUCUGAAUGACUAUUGUCGAAGGCUUAUUGAUGGAGGGAGAGACAGAAGACUCAUUUGUAAACGCUAGGGACUGGUAUCCAUCACAGAGAAGGGCUGAGAGGACCCGCCGUAAGGAGGAAUUCGCGGGCGGACCGACAUGUUUGCCAUUUACAGUGCAGAGAAAAAACUGAAUGAGAAAAUAAGAUUGUGAGUGCUCUCAAGUUGCGUUUGAUAGGGGUGAAAAAUGAUGGUGAAAUUCGAAUUUCAUCUAAAUUUUAAGAAAUUUUAUCAAACAUAUUUUCAAUUUCAUGAAAUUCGAAUUCCAUCUUAGUUCAAAAAAUAAAAAUUUUCUUGAAAUCAAGCAAUUAAAAUUUCUAAGAAUUGGGAUGAGAAUUGAAAUUCUAUAGAAUUAGAAUUUCAUUCCUAUUUUUCACUUCUAUCAACGCACUCUUAUAUUUCCAUUUCAUUUCAUGCCAUUCAAUUUUGUCCCUAGUCCGUUGCUACUGUGAACAUGGAUAUGCUCUGUUCCUUGUGGGUUGCUGUUAUGUUCAUUCAUUUGCUUGUUUUGACAGAAACCAUGCUCUGGGUGACCAGUUGCUUUACUAAAUUAAGGUUGCUGGUCAAUCCUGCAGGCUUUGCCCACCUCCUUGAAUUGAAAUUAAAAGCAAGCCUGACUAUAACACUAUUAAGCCAGUUCUCUCUUGACACGUGCUUUGAAGAGCAAGUUUUCAAGAGUCUGUUAUCCGCUCAACAGCCAGAAGCAUUUUAGUAUUGAAAUAAUGUUAUUUUAAACAAAAGUCAAUGGAUGUUUUGAUUUAAAUAACAAGUCCACGUCAAAAUUUUGCUGCUCUUAGUGGGGUGGGUGACAUAAAUUUUAGCUCGUUAAGUAUUUCAUUUUGCUGUAGAUAGGAAGACGAAAAGUAUUCAUUGACUAGCAAUUUUAUUUAUUUAUUUUUUUUACAACAACAAUAAUAUAUUUAGCUUUUAUCCCAUUAUAUAAAGUUAGUUACGUGAAUUUUAGACUUC
This is an RNA transcript of Diospyros lotus (date-plum), 3404 nucleotides long. It is a transcript of the gene named SUN domain-containing protein 5, with no coding region annotated. The transcript has 5 exons. Lineage: Eukaryota; Viridiplantae; Streptophyta; Magnoliopsida; Ericales; Ebenaceae. The record is from RefSeq and is a predicted model, not a curated record.